RNAcentral lists this ribosomal RNA (1481 nucleotides) under metagenome. RNAcentral's name for it is "bacterial SSU rRNA". It matches the Rfam family "Bacterial small subunit ribosomal RNA". The record is from RNAcentral.
AGAGUUUGAUCCUGGCUCAGGAUGAACGCUAGCGGCAGGCUUAACACAUGCAAGUCGAGGGGUAAGGUUCUGCUUGCAGAACACACGACCGGCGCACGGGUGAGUAUCGCGUUUGUAACCUACCUAUAGCUGGGGCAUAGCUUCCGGAAACGGAAAUUAAUACCCCAUAAUAUCAUAGAUUCGCAUGUUUUUAUGAUUAAAGUUCCGACGGCUAUAGAUGGGCAUGCGUGACAUUAGGUAGUUGGUAAGGUAACGGCUUACCAAGCCUACGAUGUCUAGGGGGUCUGAGAGGAUGAUCCCCCACACUGGUACUGAGACACGGACCAGACUCCUACGGGAGGCAGCAGUGAGGAAUAUUGGUCAAUGGGCGCAAGCCUGAACCAGCCAUGCCGCGUGCAGGAUGAAUGCCCUAUGGGUUGUAAACUGCUUUUUCUGCAAGAAGAAAUCCACCGACGUGUCGGAGGUUGACGGUAUUGCAGGAAUAAGCAUCGGCUAACUCCGUGCCAGCAGCCGCGGUAAUACGGAGGAUGCAAGCGUUAUCCGGAUUUAUUGGGUUUAAAGGGUGCGUAGGCGGGACAAUAAGUCAGUGGUGAAAUCCUAUAGCUUAACUAUAGAACUGCCAUUGAUACUGUUGUUCUUGAGUCCAGUUGAGGUGGGCGGAAUGUAUAAUGUAGCGGUGAAAUGCUUAGAUAUUUUACAGAACGCCAAUUGCGAAGGCAGCUCACUAAACUGGUACUGACGCUGAGGCACGAAAGCGUGGGGAGCGAACAGGAUUAGAUACCCUGGUAGUCCACGCCGUAAACGAUGAUCACUCGUUGUUGGCAAUACAUCGUCAGCGACUGAGCAAAAGCAUUAAGUGAUCCACCUGGGGAGUACGGUCGCAAGAUUGAAACUCAAAGGAAUUGACGGGGGCCCGCACAAGCGGUGGAACAUGUGGUUUAAUUCGAUGAUACGCGAGGAACCUUACCUGGGCUUAAAUGCAGAGUGACCUUCCGGGAAACCGGAAUUUCCUUCGGGACAAUUUGCAAGGUGCUGCAUGGCUGUCGUCAGCUCGUGCCGUGAGGUGUCGGGUUAAGUCCCAUAACGAGCGCAACCCCUAUCGUUAGUUGCCAGCGGAUAAUGCCGGGGACUCUAACGAAACUGCCGGUGUAAACCGAGAGGAAGGUGGGGAUGACGUCAAGUCAGCACGGCCCUUACGUCCAGGGCUACACACGUGUUACAAUGGCCAGUACAAAGGGCAGCUACCAGGUGACUGGAUGCUAAUCUCUAAAGCUGGUCUCAGUUCGGAUUGAAGUCUGCAACUCGACUUCAUGAAGGUGGAAUCGCUAGUAAUCGCGUAUCAGCAACGACGCGGUGAAUACGUUCCCGGGCCUUGUACACACCGCCCGUCAAGCCAUGGAAGCUGGGGGUACCUAAAGUCCGUAACCGCAAGGAGCGGCCUAGGGUAAAACUAGUGACUGGGGCUAAGUCGUAACAAGGUA